Molecule: ribosomal RNA, 492 nt
Filed under: uncultured bacterium
Lineage: Bacteria
Description: partial 16S ribosomal RNA
Rfam family: Bacterial small subunit ribosomal RNA
Source: RNAcentral
AGUGAACGCUGGCGGUAGGCCUAACACAUGCAAGUCGAACGGCAGCACAGUAAGAGCUUGCUCUUACGGGUGGCGAGUGGCGGACGGGUGAGGAAUAAAUCGGAAUCUACUUUUUCGUGGGGGAUAACGUAGGGAAACUUACGCUAAUACCGCAUACGACCUACGGGUGAAAGCAGGGGAUCUUCGGACCUUGCGCGAUUGAAUGAGCCGAUGUCGGAUUAGUUAGUUGGCGGGGUAAAGGCCCACCAAGGCGACGAUCCGUAGCUGGUCUGAGAGGAUGAUCAGCCACACUGGAACUGAGACACGGUCCAGACUCCUACGGGAGGCAGCAGUGGGGAAUAUUGGACAAUGGGCGCAAGCCUGAUCCAGCCAUACCGCGUGGGUGAAGAAGGCCUUCGGGUUGUAAAGCCCUUUUGUUGGGAAAGAAAAGCAGCAGGUUAAUACCCCGCUGUUCUGACGGUACCCAAAGAAUAAGCACCGGCUAACUUCGUG